AACGAACGCUGGCGGCGUGCCUAACACAUGCAAGUCGAACGGGCAGGGGCAACCCUGUCAGUGGCGCACGGGUGCGUAACACGUGGGUAAUCAACCCUUUGGACUGGGACAACCCGGGGAAACUCGGGCUAAUACCGGAUGUGGCAUGUUGGUCUUCGGGCCGGCAUGCGAAAGCCUCGCAAGGGGCACCAGAGGACGAGCCCGCGGCCCAUCAGCUAGUUGGCGAGGUAAUGGCUCACCAAGGCUAAGACGGGUAGCUGGUCUGAGAGGAUGAUCAGCCACACUGGAACUGAGACACGGUCCAGACUCCUACGGGAGGGCAGCAGUGGGGAAUAUUGCGCAAUGGGCGAAAGCCUGACGCAGCCACGCCGCGUGAGCGAUGAAGGUCUUCGGAUCGUAAAGCUCUGUGGGGAGAGAAGAAUCAAGCCGGUGAAGAGCCGGCCCUGACGGUAUCUCCUUAGCAAGCACC
RNAcentral lists this ribosomal RNA (469 nucleotides) under uncultured bacterium. RNAcentral's name for it is "bacterial SSU rRNA". It matches the Rfam family "Bacterial small subunit ribosomal RNA", at positions 29 to 494 of the family's 1533-position model. The record is from RNAcentral.